UACGAAGGGGGCUAGCGUUGCUCGGAAUCAUUGGGCGUAAAGCGCACGUAGGCGGGCUGCCAAGUCUGGGGUGAAAUCCCACGGCUCAACCGUGGAACUGCCUCGGAUACUGGCGGCCUCGAGGGAGGUAGGGGCAUGCGGAACUGUGGGUGGAGCGGUGAAAUGCGUUGAUAUCCACAGGAACUCCGGUGGCGAAGGCGGCAUGCUGGACCUCUUCUGACGCUGAGGCGCGAAAGCCAGGGGAGCAAACGGG
RNAcentral lists this ribosomal RNA (253 nucleotides) under uncultured bacterium. Its description in RNAcentral is "partial 16S ribosomal RNA". It matches the Rfam family "Bacterial small subunit ribosomal RNA", at positions 524 to 776 of the family's 1533-position model. The record is from RNAcentral.